This 305-nucleotide ribosomal RNA is filed under the name uncultured bacterium. RNAcentral's name for it is "bacterial SSU rRNA". It matches the Rfam family "Bacterial small subunit ribosomal RNA", at positions 333 to 656 of the family's 1533-position model. The record is from RNAcentral.
GUAGGCCUACGGGGCGCAGCAGUGGGGAAUAUUGCACAAUGGGGGAAACCCUGAUGCAGCGAUGCCGCGUGGAGGAAGAAGGUUUUCGGAUUGUAAACUCCUUUUAUCAGGGACGAUAAUGACGGUACCUGAAGAAAAAGCUCCGGCUAACUACGUGCCAGCAGCCGCGGUAAUACGGAGGAUGCGAGCGUUAUCCGGAUUUAUUGGGUUUAAAGGGUGCGUAGGCGGAUCGUUAAGUCAGUGGUCAAAUUGAGGGGCUCAACCCCUUCCCGCCAUUGAAACUGGCGUUCUUGAGUGGAAGAGAA